Molecule: ribosomal RNA, 253 nt
Filed under: uncultured bacterium
Lineage: Bacteria
Description: partial 16S ribosomal RNA
Rfam family: Bacterial small subunit ribosomal RNA
Source: RNAcentral
UACGUAGGGGGCAAGCGUUGUCCGGAAUCAUUGGGCGUAAAGCGCGCGUAGGCGGCUCCGCAAGUCGGCCGUGAAAUCUCCGGGCUCAACUCGGAGGGGUCGGGCGAGACUGCGGGGCUCGAGGUGGGCAGAGGGCAGUGGAAUUCCGGGUGUAGUGGUGGAAUGCGUAGAGAUCCGGAGGAACACCAGUGGCGAAGGCGGCUGCCUGGGCCUGGCCUGACGCUGAGGCGCGAAAGCGUGGGGAGCGAUCCGG